Fukomys damarensis (Damara mole-rat) is the source of this 867-nucleotide long non-coding RNA. Lineage: Eukaryota; Metazoa; Chordata; Mammalia; Rodentia; Bathyergidae. The record is from Ensembl.
AUGCCCCCGGCCCCUCCUCACAUGUUGCCUAGUGACCUGCCAGUGCUGUGUUUCUCAUCACCCUGUCCUCACUGGCUGUUUGGUUCAUUCUCAGACCCUGGGUGUCUCCUCAUUCUGGAGUCACUGAGCACCUGCUAUCCUGAUUCAGAAAGCAUCUCCACAUCACAGACCUCCCUGAAUUCAAGACCAGACUUUCUGCUGGUUCCUGGGUAAAAAGUCUUUAGGAAGCAGGCCACGUGAAAUUUGGAACUCCAAAGUUCAAGACUAAGUAUUCCUCAUCGUACAAUCAGAACUUGUGAGCUGAUCUGAGUUAGAGCAGUUACAAAAGCUCUUGGAAAGACUUGUUUGCCUUUGGCUUCUGGCCUCAUAUGCUGCAGUCUGGAUGAGGAGAAGGAUAACGAUGAAGCCAGACUUUUCCCCAACUUGUUUGAGAAUAUGUAUCAUAUCUAUUGACUUUAGUCCUUCUCCAUUUUUUAAGAAGUCAUUUUUGUUGUGAAACAUAACUCAUUGGAAAACACAAUUAGAUGACCAAGGUGACAAUAGCAAAGUGAACACUAGUGUACCCACCACUGGUGGCGAUUUUUGCAGACUUUGUUACACAAAUGGACUCAAACAGUGUGUCUGGCUUCUCUCACUCAACACUAUGUAUGUGAAACUUAUCCAUAUUGUGGCAUGUAGCAGUAACUUCACGUGACUGGCCCUCAGUUUACCCAUUCUGUUGAUAGAUGUUACGGUCAUUUCAUGUUUUCGCUAUUAAAAAUAGUGCUGCUGUGGACAUUUUUGCAUAUCUGAAGCAUUUGCCAGGAUUACAAUGCCUGGGCUCCACCUUGGAAAAUGCUGGUGCUAUAGUAUGAAAAUGGCUGGGGA